AUUGAACGCUGGCGGCAUGCUUUACACAUGCAAGUCGAACGGUAACAGGCCGCAAGGUGCUGACGAGUGGCGAACGGGUGAGUAAUGCAUCGGAACGUGCCCAGUCGUGGGGGAUAACGCAGCGAAAGCUGUGCUAAUACCGCAUACGAUCUAUGGAUGAAAGCGGGGGACCGAAAGGCCUCGCGCGAUUGGAGCGGCCGAUGUCAGAUUAGGUAGUUGGUGGGGUAAAGGCCCACCAAGCCAACGAUCUGUAGCUGGUCUGAGAGGACGACCAGCCACACUGGGACUGAGACACGGCCCAGACUCCUACGGGAGGCAGCAGUGGGGAAUUUUGGACAAUGGGCGCAAGCCUGAUCCAGCAAUGCCGCGUGCAGGAAGAAGGCCUUCGGGUUGUAAACUGCUUUUGUACGGAACGAAACGGUCCGGGUUAAUACCCUGGGCUAAUGACGGUACCGUAAGACUAAGCACCGGCUAACUACGUGCCAGCCGCCGCAGUAA
This 498-nucleotide ribosomal RNA is filed under the name uncultured bacterium. RNAcentral's name for it is "partial 16S ribosomal RNA". It matches the Rfam family "Bacterial small subunit ribosomal RNA", at positions 29 to 523 of the family's 1533-position model. The record is from RNAcentral.